RNAcentral lists this ribosomal RNA (513 nucleotides) under uncultured bacterium. RNAcentral's name for it is "partial 16S ribosomal RNA". It matches the Rfam family "Bacterial small subunit ribosomal RNA", at positions 28 to 523 of the family's 1533-position model. The record is from RNAcentral.
GAUGAACGCUGGCGGCGUGCCUAAUACAUGCAAGUCGAGCGGACCAAAGAGAGCUUGCUCUCUGAGGUUAGCGGCGGACGGGUGAGUAACACGUGGGUAACCUGCCUGUAAGACGGGGAUAACUUCGGGAAACCGAAGCUAAUACCGGAUGAUAAAGAGAAACGCCUGUUUCUCUUUUGAAAGUCGGCCUUGUGCUGACGCUUACAGAUGGGACGGCGGCGCAUUAGCUAGUUGGUGAGGUAACGGCUCACCAAGGCGACGAUGCGUAGCCGACCUGAGAGGGUGAUCGGCCACACUGGGACUGAGACACGGCCCAGACUCCUACGGGAGGCAGCAGUAGGGAAUCUUCGGCAAUGGACGAAAGUCUGACCGAGCAACGCCGCGUGAGCGAUGAAGGCCUUCGGGUCGUAAAGCUCUGUUGUCAGAGAAGAACAAGUACCGGAGUAACUGCCGGUACCUUGACGGUACCUGACCAGAAAGCCACGGCUAACCACGUGCCAGCCGCCGCAGUAA